This 253-nucleotide ribosomal RNA is filed under the name uncultured bacterium. RNAcentral's name for it is "partial 16S ribosomal RNA". It matches the Rfam family "Bacterial small subunit ribosomal RNA", at positions 524 to 776 of the family's 1533-position model. The record is from RNAcentral.
UACAGAGGUCCCGAGCGUUGUUCGGAUUCACUGGGCGUAAAGGGCGCGUAGGCGGGCGGCCAAGUCAGGGGUGAAAGCCCCCAGCUCAACUGGGGAAGUGCCUUUGAUACUGGUUGUCUCGAGGGAGGUAGGGGCGUGCGGAACUUCCGGUGGAGCGGUGAAAUGCGUAGAUAUCGGAAGGAACGCCGGUGGCGAAAGCGGCGCGCUGGGCCUCUUCUGACGCUGAGGCGCGAAAGCUAGGGGAGCAAACGGG